CCUACGGGUGGCAGCAGUCGAGAAUUUUUCUCAAUGGGGGAAACCCUGAAGGAGCGACGCCGCGUGAAGGAUGAAGGUCUUCGGAUUGUAAACUUCUGUCAUUUGAGAACUAGUAUCAGAAGAGGAAGAGACGGCUAACUCUGUGCCAGCAGCCGCGGUAAUACAGAGGUCUCGAGCGUUGUUCGGAUUCAUUGGGCGUAAAGGGUGCGUAGGUGGCUAGGUAAGUCGGAUGUGAAAUCCCGGGGCUCAACCCCGGAACUGCAUUCGAUACUGCCUGGCUAGAGUACUGGAGAGGAGAUUGGAAUUUACGGUGUAGCAGUGAAAUGCGUAGAUAUCGUAAGGAAGACCAGUGGCGAAGGCGGAUCUCUGGACAGUACUGACACUGAGGCACGAAGGCCAGGGGAGCAAACGGGAUUAGAUACCCUUGUAGUC
Molecule: ribosomal RNA, 432 nt
Filed under: uncultured bacterium
Lineage: Bacteria
Description: partial 16S ribosomal RNA
Rfam family: Bacterial small subunit ribosomal RNA
Source: RNAcentral